GCCAGUGCAGAUUGCGAGGGGGGGGGGGUGCUGUCAGAAGCCAGAGGUGGAGGCCUGGAAUGGCGACAGGUGGCCAAGGGAAUGGGGAGCUUGGGAGGGACUCUGAGCCAGUGGGUCCCUCCACCUGCCUGGGGGGCUGCAUUUGAGGGACUGAGGCAGGAGUCCUGAUGAGAAGCGGGGGGCCAGAGCAUCUGCAGGAAGACUCGGUUGAGGCCAGCAGGCUGGGGUCAGCGAGCGGCCGUGGAGGGAGAGAUGUACGUCAGAAUGAAGUUUCUGGCUUUGGGUUGAAAACCAUCCUCUUCAGUUAGAAAAAUAGUCGCCCGAAAGGUGUUCCACGUUCUAAGUGCUGACUGCGCCCGCUCCUGACCAGCGGCCCCCUCUGGGCUGAAGGGGACGCGCGUGGUCACUCCCACUUGGAUGGGCAAGUGGGUGCACGCAGCGGACGUGCAGACACACCGUUCCAGACGCAGCCUGGCACGGGCCACUGAGCUGCUCGGGUGACUGGAGUGGCAUCAGAAAGCCCCUGGGAGCGCGGGCUCUCUGCACACGGCAUCGCUAAGACUUGUCGGUCCGUGGACGUGGGACAGCCCAGCUGGAGCAUCCUCAUGGGCAGCUGUUGGAGAGGCGUUUUUGGCGCUGACGGUUGCUGAUGCGGUAAUGUGGUGUUAGACCCUUGACAGGAGGGGAGGCCGGCUUCUGGGGCGCACGCCUGGCCCCACCGCGCCAGGCUGCAGUGUUUAACCCCGGCUGGGUUCCGGCCGGCUCAGAAGACAGUUCUUCCUGUGUGUGCUCUGGUGCCCGUGGAGGUUGCCUGAGGUUCCGUGGCUUACAAAUAUCCAUUUUAGGACAGUUGUUUUAAAAUCACUUGUUUCACUGACUCUUUUUCACUCAUCCGAAACUCUCCUCUGAACCUCGCUCCUCUGAACCAAAAGCAGGUUGUCCUUUUUCUAAUGUUUGGAGUGUCUUUAGGUCGAUAGUGCAUGUGUUUUGUGUAUUUUGGGUAGAGGUAAGGGGCAGUGCAGUUCUCUGUGUACUGCGUUCCCAAGAGAAGGGCUCUCUGCCCCUGGACCUGGAGCCUGUGGCUGUGCGAUGAGGCUCUCGCGGGGCAGGCCGCUGGGGCGCAGACGGGGCGGGCGGGCAGCGCGUCUCUCCAGCAGUUGGUGAAAACUUCCCAGGAAAGCGGGUCCCUGAAGGGGCCGAGGCAGUGGGGGUCCUGCUUAUGAGCACAGAGCUGUGCAAUGGUGUCCUGCCUGGGGUUUCCCAGCCUCCCCCCGUCUCUGGUUCCUCAGGGGGCUCUGGUACAGACCCUGAAGUCUGGGGGUUGAGAAUGGAGCCCCCAGCCAGGGUCUCUCUCCUAGCGUCACCCAUUGGACCCAGCCGAGAACCUUUGGGAGCUGGACAAGACCCUGGGGCCCCAUUUCUGAUCCCCUCAUUUUUAAGGAGAGGAGAUUAAGACCCACAGAGAGAAGAGGGUUUACUGAAUUACUCCCCAACUUUGUCUCGAGACCAGGGCAGCCAUCACCUCGGCACGUUCGCUCCUCUAGUCCUCGUGUCACUCUCUUUGGAGAGAAGGUCUGAGAACUAGGGACAGUUCCCUGAGGUCGGACCCCACCAUGGUGCCCUCUCUUAGAGAGAGGCGUCCUCCUCGCUCAGACCCCAGGGGGGACCCCAGGGCUGCUCUCCCGUCUCUGCUGAGGCUCCUUGCCCAUGGUGGUGGGCCCCCAUUAGUCCAGGGGCGCAGGCGAGAUGGGCUCAGAGCCCAUGAACACGGGGCUAUGCCCGGGCGACCUUCACCUUGCGGAUGUGGGCGAUAGACCCUUAUGUGCAGGGGAGGAGGCCAAGCUCGCCGAGCGCUGCGGCCCAGGCCUGUGCGCGUCCUGGUCACCUAGGUGUCCCGCCACGUGAUUCCUGGUGGUCAGGUCCCCGGGGGGCAUCCCUGCCCUGAACACGGCCCAUGACCUGGCUGAGCUGGCAUGUCACCAUCCCCGGGGGGGGGGG
This is a long non-coding RNA of Equus asinus (donkey), 1998 nucleotides long. Lineage: Eukaryota; Metazoa; Chordata; Mammalia; Perissodactyla; Equidae. The record is from Ensembl.